Microtus ochrogaster (prairie vole) is the source of this 104-nucleotide small nuclear RNA. Lineage: Eukaryota; Metazoa; Chordata; Mammalia; Rodentia; Cricetidae. The record is from Ensembl.
GUGUUCACCUCGGCCGCACAUACACUAAAAGUGGAACUGUGCAAAGAUUAGCAUGGACCCUGUGCAAAGAUGACACAAAAAUUCAUGAGGAAGCAUUUCUUUCU